Molecule: ribosomal RNA, 223 nt
Filed under: uncultured bacterium
Lineage: Bacteria
Description: partial 16S ribosomal RNA
Rfam family: Bacterial small subunit ribosomal RNA
Source: RNAcentral
UACGAAGGGGCUAGCGUUGCUCGGAAUCACUGGCGUAAAGGGCGCGUAGGCGGCCAUUCAAGUCGGGGGUGAAAGCCUGUGGCUCAACCACAGAAUUGCCUUCGAUACUGUUUGGCUUGAGUUUGGUAGAGGUUGGUGGAACUGCGAGUGUAGAGGUGAAAUUCGUAGAUAUUCGCAAGAACACCAGUGGCGAAGGCGGCCAACUGGACCAACACUGACGCUG